RNAcentral lists this ribosomal RNA (345 nucleotides) under Epitrimerus sp. AH25 1. RNAcentral's name for it is "partial small subunit ribosomal RNA". The record is from RNAcentral. Lineage: Eukaryota; Metazoa; Arthropoda; Arachnida; Trombidiformes; Eriophyidae.
UCCUAGGAGUGACGGGCGAUUUGUGCAUAAAGAAUUUCCCAUACAAGAAAAAUUUUUGAUUUUACCUUUUUUUCCAGAUCCUUCUUUUUCCUGUUCUCCUUAUUAGUAAUUUCAAUAAGUGGCUCAUCUCUUCGCUUAUAUGAGUGCUGUCUCGAUCUGUCUUCUUAGGUUUUAUCUAUUUAAAAUUUUUUCUUAGGUUAUUUUUUUCACGAUGAUAUGGCAACUAAUAAUAAAAGGGUUUUAUCGUGUGUUAUCGGUUAUAGGACAGGCCCCUCUGUUAAGCUUCUUUACCGCCAUCUAAGAUAAUUUUCUUUUAUUUACUUAAUCCUCUUUCUUUCCGUAAAG